RNAcentral lists this transfer RNA (68 nucleotides) under Marmota monax (woodchuck). Its description in RNAcentral is "tRNA.Ala". The stretch from base 5 to 65 matches the Rfam family "tRNA", at positions 6 to 65 of the family's 71-position model. Rfam says of the family: Transfer RNA (tRNA) molecules are approximately 80 nucleotides in length. Their secondary structure includes four short double-helical elements and three loops (D, anti-codon, and T loops). Lineage: Eukaryota; Metazoa; Chordata; Mammalia; Rodentia; Sciuridae. The record is from RNAcentral.
GGAUUGUGGCUCAGUGGUAGAGUGCUUGCCUAGCAUGCAAGAGGCACUGGGUUUGAUCCCUGGCACCA